RNAcentral lists this long non-coding RNA (1346 nucleotides) under Heterocephalus glaber (naked mole-rat). RNAcentral describes it as "lncRNA (ENSHGLG00000039837.1)". Lineage: Eukaryota; Metazoa; Chordata; Mammalia; Rodentia; Bathyergidae. The record is from RNAcentral.
UAAUACAGUGCUUACACAGCUUGCUUUACAAUAAAACAUGAUUUUUCUUCCUUUUCUUUAAACAAAAGAUUUUCAUUGAAAUAAAAUCAAUUAGAUUUUGUAGCAGUGCUUGAAACCCAACAACCAAAACAGACAACUGAUCUGUAGUUGUGACAGUGCCUCUAUUAGAAUGUACAAUACUUCAUUAGCAGAUAUUCUCUGUAUAAAUAGGCUGUCCUUUGAAGGCUCUACUGGAGACACAACCAUUUAUGUAAUAAAAAGAUACCAGCAGGGAUCCGGGGAUUUAGCUCAGUGGUUCCAGGGGCUGCUUUGCAAGCACAAGGUCCCAAGUUUGAUCCCCGGUACCCCUCCCCCCCCAAAAAAAGAUACUGGCAAAUCAAGUUCCUAGUCUCAGUCUUUGCACAGCUGUCUGAUACAUCCUAGUGUAUGAGAUCCUUUAAGUUUACAGUCAUCUUUUUGUGAUAUUAGUGAAGUAAAAGUGUUUUAUGAUACAAUUCUGUAUUGGAAGAUUGUACUGAAAGUCAACUUAAAUGUUUUUUCACUGGAGUCAGCUGCCCUCUAGCAAUGUCCAGAGAAACUUUGGAUGUCACGCUGAGGAAGGGAAUGCACUGACAUCUUAUGGACAGAAGUCAUCCAUGCUGCUAUGCUUGCUGCACAGAAGAGGCCCCUGCAAUAAAGAAUCUUUCAGCUUAAGAUGUGAAUGCCGAGACUGAGAAACUGAAAAUAGAAUAUGUGAGCAUGGACGGGAAAGUUAAUGAAACAUCAACUGAUCAUGGUGUUCAUGCCUCAGAGUGGCCUGUCCCCAGCAAAGACUUCAAAGAUUUGUGCUGGAUGAACAUGAAUAGGGUCAAAGACUUGUGAAAAUGUCAGGUACAUAUGUUCAAGAUGGAGACAAAAGCAAUCCACUGAUCUCUGUGAGCAAACAAGAAAGACGGGGGGCCUUGAGCAAACAAGUUUCAGAGCAUGAAAGUCACAGUACUUAAUGAACUGUCAGUUGGGAACUACCUACCCUCAGCACAGGCAACACAGGAAUUUGUAGAAAACCACUGGCCAAAUUUCCUCAUUUAUCUUUAGUUUGGCUGACAAAAACAUUCACAAAUAUUUUGGAAAGAUUCCAUACAUUUUUAAAAACUAUGCUCUUUUGGUUAGCUGUAUUAGGCCUCGUCCACUGUCCUAUCGGUCUGUAACUCCAGCAGGAAGAAAUCGGAGACAAACGCGAUUUUUAAAACACAUUUUUAUAAAGACAAGAUUAAAACCGGUAAAUUAAAGUGAAUUCUUUGAGCAAAUUCAUUAAAUUGGCCAUUCAGCAGUUGGCUUUUGAGCAGUUGAUCUAUAACAUCUAAAUG